AGUAAGGCUGAGUAUUAGGCAAAUCCGGUACUCAUUAAGGCUGAGCUGUGAUGGGGAGAAGACAUUGUGUCUUCGAGUCGUUGAUUUCACACUGCCGAGAAAAGCCUCUAGAUAGAAAAUAGGUGCCCGUACCGCAAACCGACACAGGUAGUCAAGAUGAGAAUUCUAAGGUGAGCGAGCGAACUCUCGUUAAGGAACUCGGCAAAAUGACCCCGUAACUUCGGGAGAAGGGGUGCUCUUUAGGGUUAACGCCCAGAAGAGCCGCAGUGAAUAGGCCCAAGCGACUGUUUAUCAAAAACACAGGUCUCUGCUAAACCGUAAGGUGAUGUAUAGGGGCUGACGCCUGCCCGGUGCUGGAAGGUUAAGAGGAGUGGUUAGCUUCUGCGAAGCUACGAAUCGAAGCCCCAGUAAACGGCGGCCGUAACUAUAACGGUCCUAAGGUAGCGAAAUUCCUUGUCGGGUAAGUUCCGACCCGCACGAAAGGCGUAACGAUUUGGGCACUGUCUCAACGAGAGACUCGGUGAAAUCAUAGUACCUGUGAAGAUGCAGGUUACCCGCGACAGGACGGAAAGACCCCGUGGAGCUUUACUGUAGCCUGAUAUUGAAAUUCGGCACAGCUUGUACAGGAUAGGUAGGAGCCUUUGAAACGUGAGCGCUAGCUUACGUGGAGGCGCUGGUGGGAUACUACCCUAGCUGUGUUGGCUUUCUAACCCGCACCACUUAUCGUGGUGGGAGACAGUGUCAGGCGGGCAGUUUGACUGGGGCGGUCGCCUCCUAAAAGGUAACGGAGGCGCUCAAAGGUUCCCUCAGAAUGGUUGGAAAUCAUUCAUAGAGUGUAAAGGCAUAAGGGAGCUUGACUGCGAGACCUACAAGUCGAGCAGGGUCGAAAGACGGACUUAGUGAUCCGGUGGUUCCGCAUGGAAGGGCCAUCGCUCAACGGAUAAAAGCUACCCCGGGGAUAACAGGCUUAUCUCCCCCAAGAGUUCACAUCGACGGGGAGGUUUGGCACCUCGAUGUCGGCUCAUCGCAUCCUGGGGCUGUAGUCGGUCCCAAGGGUUGGGCUGUUCGCCCAUUAAAGCGGUACGCGAGCUGGGUUCAGAACGUCGUGAGACAGUUCGGUCCCUAUCCGUCGUGGGCGUAGGAAAUUUGAGAGGAGCUGUCCUUAGUACGAGAGGACCGGGAUGGACAUACCUCUGGUGUACCAGUUGUCGUGCCAACGGCAUAGCUGGGUAGCUAUGUGUGGACGGGAUAAGUGCUGAAAGCAUCUAAGCAUGAAGCCCCCCUCAAGAUGAGAUUUCCCAACUUCGGUUAUAAGAUCCCUCAAAGAUGAUGAGGUUAAUAGGUUCGAGGUGGAAGCAUGGUGACAUGUGGAGCUGACGAAUACUAAUCGAUCGAAGACUUAAUCAA
This 1407-nucleotide ribosomal RNA is filed under the name Staphylococcus aureus. Its description in RNAcentral is "bacterial LSU rRNA". It matches the Rfam family "Bacterial large subunit ribosomal RNA", at positions 1518 to 2925 of the family's 2925-position model. The record is from RNAcentral. Lineage: Bacteria; Bacillati; Bacillota; Bacilli; Caryophanales; Staphylococcaceae.